AGUGAACGCUGGCGGUAGGCCUAACACAUGCAAGUCGAACGGCAGCACAGUAAGAGCUUGCUCUUACGGGUGGCGAGUGGCGGACGGGUGAGGAAUACAUCGGAAUCUACUUUUUCGUGGGGGAUAACGUAGGGAAACUUACGCUAAUACCGCAUACGACCUACGGGUGAAAGCAAGGGAUCUUCGGACCUUGCGCGAUUGAAUGAGCCGAUGUCGGAUUAGCUAGGUGGCGGGGUAAAGGCCCACCAAGGCGACGAUCCGUAGCUGGUCUGAGAGGAUGAUCAGCCACACUGGAACUGAGACACGGUCCAGACUCCUACGAGAGGCAGCAGUGGGGAAUAUUGGACAAUGGGCGCAAGCCUGAUCCAGCCACACCGCGUGGGUGAAGAAGGCCUUCGGGUUGUAAAGCCCUUUUGUUGGGAAAGAAAAGCAGCAGGUUAAUACCCCGCUGUUCUGACGGUACCCAAAGAAUAAGCACCGGCUAACUUCGUG
Molecule: ribosomal RNA, 492 nt
Filed under: uncultured bacterium
Lineage: Bacteria
Description: partial 16S ribosomal RNA
Rfam family: Bacterial small subunit ribosomal RNA
Source: RNAcentral